This 694-nucleotide ribosomal RNA is filed under the name uncultured bacterium. RNAcentral's name for it is "bacterial SSU rRNA". It matches the Rfam family "Bacterial small subunit ribosomal RNA", at positions 32 to 715 of the family's 1533-position model. The record is from RNAcentral.
AACGCUAGCUACAGGCUUAACACAUGCAAGUCGAGGGGCAGCAUGGUCUUAGCUUGCUAAGGCCGAUGGCGACCGGCGCACGGGUGAGUAACACGUAUCCAAUCUGCCGUCUACUCUUGGACAGCCUUCUGAAAGGAAGAUUAAUACAAGAUGGCAUCAUGAGUUCACAUGUUCACAUGAUUAAAGGUAUUCCGGUAGACGAUGGGGAUGCGUUCCAUUAGAUAGUAGGCGGGGUAACGGCCCACCUAGUCUUCGAUGGAUAGGGGUUCUGAGAGGAAGGUCCCCCACAUUGGAACUGAGACACGGUCCAAACUCCUACGGGAGGCAGCAGUGAGGAAUAUUGGUCAAUGGGCGCAGGCCUGAACCAGCCGAGUAGCGUGAAGGAUGACUGCCCUAUGGGUUGUAAACUUCUUUUAUAAAGGAAUAAAGUCGGGUAUGUAUACCCGUUUGCAUGUACUUUAUGAAUAAGGAUCGGCUAACUCCGUGCCAGCAGCCGCGGUAAUACGGAGGAUCCGAGCGUUAUCCGGAUUUAUUGGGUUUAAAGGGAGCGUAGAUGGAUGUUUAAGUCAGUUGUGAAAGUUUGCGGCUCAACCGUAAAAUUGCAGUUGAUACUGGAUAUCUUGAGUGCAGUUGAGGCAGGCGGAAUUCGUGGUGUAGCGGUGAAAUGCUUAGAUAUCACGAAGAACUCCGAUUG